RNAcentral lists this unclassified non-coding RNA (2520 nucleotides) under Melitaea cinxia (Glanville fritillary). RNAcentral's name for it is "misc RNA ENSMCXG00005014559.1". The record is from RNAcentral. Lineage: Eukaryota; Metazoa; Arthropoda; Insecta; Lepidoptera; Nymphalidae.
CGGUCGCUCACGCUCCGUCGCUCAGCCGAGCUGCCCGCGCCGCCUUCCCGCUCUGCCGCACCACGCGUGCGCUGGGAGCGUCGCGCGGGCCGCGGGCCAGGCCCGCGAGCCUGCUCCUGUUCGCCGCGUGGCUGGCGGCCGUCGCCGCCGACCUCGCUUGCCAACAAGAACCUCCGGCGACGCACGUCGUUUGCUCCUCCUGUCGUUCCUACGAGAACGCUCGCGAGCACAGUUUACGAGUUAUUCGAGAGAGCUUGCUGGCCAAGCUAGGUUUCGCGCAAGCACCGAAUACGACUGGACGACAGUUACCGCGAGUGCCGGCAGAUCUCAUGGAGCGGUUCGAGAGAAAACCGCCUCCGGCGGGCGUGCAGGCCGAUGCGCCGGCUCUAUCGCGUACUUUUGUAACUCACACUGAGCAGGAUGACUUCCUCGCUCGCACCGACAAUGUUCUCGUAUUUGCCCGUUAGUAUAAUUUUUAAGUUGACAUUUUAUUUCGUUGCAAAAUUUUGUUACAUAGUCAAGUUCGAUGCCCCGUAAAUGUUACUGUCACACGUAUUACUCUACAUGCUGCCAAUUCUAAUGAGUGUCUAUUUAAUUUUAAAUAAUUCUAAAGUUAGCUUUGAACAAUGCUUAGGUUUUAUUGAAAAAAACUGAGAACUUCGCAUUGUUUCUUUUGUGACAUCAACGUCAUUUAACCCCUAUCAAUUCUUGACAAACAAUAACUUUUUCAUUUGGAUUUAUCGGCUGAUAUGUUCAGUUAGGAGGUAUUGUAAACUACACGUGCGAACGGCUAUUCGCUUAACAUGGUUUACAAAGUUCAUUGACAGGCACGUGUGCAGCUUAUAAGUGGGUAACCGUAAUUGUAAAAGUGAUAAGAUAAAAAUUAUAUAUAAAGUACAAACAAAUUGUUGCAUUAGUUCAAUAAUAAUUGCUACGACAAGAAAUUGAUUAUAUAGAGUUCACCAGAUUUUCGAUAUGAAGUUUAGACGGUACAGUGGUGUUAACGUGUAGGCGUUACGUGACGACUCUCUGUCUGCUAGUCUGUGACCGCCAAGGAACACUGCCCUCGACUCGUAAUCGACUUGCAAACGUACCGCCUCCAUUAUACUGGGUGACACAAUUUCUGAGACAUUACCUAAUAGUCUACGUGUGCUAUCUCAAUUUUUGUCAUACCUAUAUUUUAAUAAUAACAAACAAUUUUCUUAAUAAAAACGAUUUUUAUUUAAUUAAGAGGAUUAGGCCUAUUGGGGAUACCUCUAUAAAAAAAGCGCAUCACUGGUUCUUACCUCAAAGGUGGUGUGGAAAUAGAACCGUAUUGAAUGCUGUAAGUACUAACUUCAUUUAUAAUGUUUAAAAUACAUAUUAAAUUAACAGUAAAUAUCUAUUGAAGAGAGCGUAACAAUAAUUUGUUCUAAAAAUUUGGGGAAGUUGCAGCGUAGGGGCGAAGUAACAAGAAUAUAAUACUGACUUAUUAAGACAAGUGACAUUAAUAAUAAUUUAUCUUGGGAAUUUAUAGAAUAUUAAUAAUAAUUUAUAAAAAUCUGCAAGAUACUUGUAAAUAAACAUUUAAAUAUACCUUGGUAUAUUACUUACAAGUCUUAACAAUAAAAAAAUAAAGUCAAUCGUAACAAAAUAAUUUAUUUGUCUGCAAGGGAUAUUAACACUAUUAAUAUGACUUGCAACAAUUUCUAACAUUAGGCAUUUAGGUUAUCGCAAUUUUGAAUCCCUGCAUGUCAGUAUUUGAUAUAAAUAGGAAUAACUAUAACUACGUGAAUUCUGAUUACAGGUUUGAAAAAAUAAUAAAAUGUAAAUACAAAAAUACAUUUAUAACUUAGAUUUAUAUAACGUUUAUUUCACUCUUUUUGAAUAGUUUGUUCAAUGAAUAUUUCUCCUGGAUACUAAAUUAUUAAAUGCGCACAGUUUAUCAAAUUACUUAUCAUUAAAGCGAGGACAUGCCAAUGUAGCGCAUAUUAAUAGAUCUUGAUAUUUUUUUGCUUGUGCGUAUGAAGGAAUCGUUAUAAAGACAGUAAUCGCAACAUUUUUAUUUUUAUCAGCCUGACAUACUUAGGAAUAAAAGAGUUUCGUACUUUUGGGAUAAAUUUUAAGCAUUUAUGAAAAAUAAAAAUCAAAGUAUAAGUUAGAUCAGGUUCGAUUUUACUAUAUUUUAGCAACACAUUUUUUUAUACAAAAAUUUUUGAUUGUGUUGAAAAAAAAUUUUUUUCAAAUAUAUUAUUGUUUAUUGAGUAAAUAAUACUUCUCUCUACAGAAAAAGAACUGUAUAUAUAAUAGCAACCCGUCCCGGCUUUGCACGGUUGCAAUGCUGAUACUAAAUAAGUAUAAAAUAUAAAAUAAAUAUUUGCAAUGUAAGCGCAAAAAAUAACUUUAUUUACGACAUCACAUUACAUGUUUUUACAUUUUGCAUGUAUUUUACAUACAAACCUUACUCACUCUAUUUACUAAAGAAAUCUGCAUCAAAAUCCAUUGCGUAGUUUUUAAAAUCUAAGCAUACAGACAGUGGGG